UGGGGAAUAUUGCACAAUGGGCGAAAGCCUGAUGCAGCAACGCCGCGUGAGCGAUGAAGGCCCUUGGGUCGUAAAGCUCUGUCCUAUGGGAAGAAACAAAUGACGGUACCAUUGGAGGAAGCCCCGGCUAACUACGUGCCAGCAGCCGCGGUAAUACGUAGGGGGCAAGCGUUAUCCGGAAUCAUUGGGCGUAAAGAGUGCGUAGGUGGUUUCUUAAGCGUGGGGUUUAAGGCUACGGCUUAACCGUAGUUCGCCCCAUGAACUGGGAGACUUGAGUGCAGGAGGGGAAAGUGGAAUUCCUAGUGUAGCGGUGAAAUGCGUAGAUAUUAGGAGGAACACCAGUGGCGAAGGCGACUUUCUGGACUGUAACUGACACUGAGGCACGAAAGCGUGGGGAGCAAACAGG
RNAcentral lists this ribosomal RNA (406 nucleotides) under uncultured prokaryote. Its description in RNAcentral is "bacterial SSU rRNA". It matches the Rfam family "Bacterial small subunit ribosomal RNA", at positions 355 to 776 of the family's 1533-position model. The record is from RNAcentral. RNAcentral also lists the same sequence under 1 other name.